UCAAACUUGGUCAUUUAGAGGAAGUAAAAGUCGUAACAAGGUUUCCGUAGGUGAACCUUCGGAAGGAUCAUUACAGUUUUUUGGCGGUCCGGCCCGCGCAAGCGAACCGGCCGCCAUCAACCUCCACCCUUGAUUUUGAGCACCUUCGUUUCCUCGGCGGGUUCGCCCGCCAGCGAGGACCCCCUUGAAUUCUUUGCAGUAGCAGUUUUUGUCUGAAAUACAAACAAACAAUCAAAACUUUCAACAAUGGAUCUCUUGGUUCUGGCAUCGAUGAAGAACGCAGC
Molecule: unclassified non-coding RNA, 284 nt
Filed under: uncultured fungus
Lineage: Eukaryota; Fungi
Description: partial contains small subunit ribosomal RNA, internal transcribed spacer 1, and 5.8S ribosomal RNA
Rfam family: Eukaryotic small subunit ribosomal RNA (bases 1-73)
Source: RNAcentral